RNAcentral lists this unclassified non-coding RNA (178 nucleotides) under fungal sp. RNAcentral describes it as "partial internal transcribed spacer region". The stretch from base 1 to 46 matches the Rfam family "Eukaryotic small subunit ribosomal RNA", at positions 1786 to 1831 of the family's 1831-position model. The record is from RNAcentral. Lineage: Eukaryota; Fungi.
AAGUCGUAACAAGGUUUCCGUAGGUGAACCUGCGGAAGGAUCAUUAAAAAUUUAUAUUCCGGGAAUUCGUUUCGUUUUCCCGGAUUAUUUGUAUUCAAAUCCCACUCUUUAAAAAUAUAUUAAUUAUAUAAAACAAAAAUAAAAAAGAAAACUUUCAACAACGGAUCUCUUGGCUCUC